ACGACACUAACUUCAGUGUGAACGCCCAUCUAGCCCAACUUGGAAUGUCUAGGAAUGUAAUUAUGCAAGUCUGAAUUUUCACUGUUGGCUGGAAAGUCUGUCAACGAGGUGGACAGCAGCAGGAAGCAAAGACCUGGUUCUAUCUUUCAUGCUGCCAGUGAACGUACGGCGAAUGCAAGCAGACAGACCCAAGA
Molecule: long non-coding RNA, 194 nt
Organism: Ixodes scapularis (black-legged tick)
Lineage: Eukaryota; Metazoa; Arthropoda; Arachnida; Ixodida; Ixodidae
Exons: 2
Source: RefSeq, a predicted model, not a curated record